UGUCGUCAGCCUAGCAGUGAUUUCAGAGACGAUGACUUUGUCAACUUCGGGGAGUACAGCAGUGGGUUUGCAUCAAAGUUGGUUUUGAAACCUGGAGUUGUGCCAUCACGGAGGUUGCCCACUUCUCCAUCAGCCAGCACACCAGGGACAUCAACAACAUCCAACAACCAUACAUCUUGCCAAACAGACCCACCUAGUCUGUCAUCCAGGGGCACACAGCUUUCUGUUGUUACUUUACGCAAUCAUGUGAGAAGCAGAGGCACACAAACUA
Gadus macrocephalus (Pacific cod) is the source of this 271-nucleotide long non-coding RNA. RefSeq lists it as uncharacterized. The record is from RefSeq and is a predicted model, not a curated record. Lineage: Eukaryota; Metazoa; Chordata; Actinopteri; Gadiformes; Gadidae. The transcript has 3 exons.